AGCAGCCGCGGUAAUUCCAGCUCCAAUAGCGUAUAUUAAAGUUGUUGCAGUUAAAAAGCUCGUAGUUGAAUUUCGGGAUCAAUAUAUCGGUCGUGCCUUGGUACGUACUGGUAUCAUUGGUUUCUCCUUUCUGACGAACCAUGGUGUCAUUAAUUUGGUGUUAUGGGAAGUUAGGACUGUUACUUUGAAAAAAUUUAGAGUGUUUAAAGCAAGCUAACGCUUGAAUACAUUAGCAUGGAAUAAUGAAAUAGGACGUUCGAUCCUAUUUUGUUGGUUUCUAGGAUUGACGUAAUGAUUAAUAGGGAUAGUUGGGGGCAUUAGUAUUCAAUUGUCAGAGGUGAAAUUCUUGGAUUUAUUGAAGACUAACUACUGCGAAAGCAUUUGCCAAGGAUGUUUUCAUUAAUCAAGAACGAAGGUUAGGGGAUCGAAGACGAUCAGAUACCGUCGUAGUCUUAACCAUAAACUAUGCCGACUAGGGAUCGGAUGAUGUUAAUUUUUUCAAUGACUCAUUCGGCGCCUU
Molecule: unclassified non-coding RNA, 520 nt
Filed under: uncultured Glomus
Lineage: Eukaryota; Fungi; Glomeromycota; Glomeromycetes; Glomerales; Glomeraceae
Description: SSU rRNA
Rfam family: Eukaryotic small subunit ribosomal RNA
Source: RNAcentral